Molecule: non-coding RNA, 81 nt
Organism: Cajanus cajan (pigeon pea)
Lineage: Eukaryota; Viridiplantae; Streptophyta; Magnoliopsida; Fabales; Fabaceae
Source: Rfam
UAUCAUCUGACGAGAAAACAACUGUAACAUUAUGAUUGAAUUUUUUCCAUGAUUCCUUGUAUUUGAGUAUAUAUGAUGAUA